This 327-nucleotide unclassified non-coding RNA is filed under the name soil metagenome. RNAcentral's name for it is "partial contains 5.8S ribosomal RNA, internal transcribed spacer 2, and large subunit ribosomal RNA". The stretch from base 1 to 120 matches the Rfam family "5.8S ribosomal RNA", at positions 35 to 154 of the family's 154-position model. The record is from RNAcentral.
GAUGAAGAACGCAGCGAAAUGCGAUAAGUAAUGUGAAUUGCAGAAUUCAGUGAAUCAUCGAAUCCUUGAACGCACAUUGCGCCCCUUGGUAUUCCGAGGGGCAUGCCUGUUCGAGCGUCAUUAUCACCCCUCAAGCUUUGCUUGGUGUUGGGGCCUGCUGUAAUAGGCAGCCCUUAAAAUCAGUGGCGGUGCUUCAAGGCUCUAAGCGUAGUAAUUCUCCUCGCUAUAGUGUCUAGUGGUUGCCAGCCAGAACCCCCCAAUUUUCAUGAUUGACCUCGGAUCAGGUAGGGAUACCCGCUGAACUUAAGCAUAUCAAUAAGCGGAGGA